UUUAAAAAGGCAUAGAGAGAACGUCUCUGGUAGGCUUUGGAAAUGUUUCUGUCCAAAAUGAUUUAAAAAAAUGGUUAAAAAAAAAAGUUUUGGCACUUAAGAGGGGUAAGCUGGCUGUGUGUUCACCCUGGCAGGCUGACGUGCGUUCAGUGUCCCGCCAAGCCGGUGAGCUGAGCUGCCAUGGAAUUGUGAACUGCUUUGGGACACUGGGCAAAGGCGUGUCCUCUUUUGCCACAGAGGUUGCACACGAUGACCUUCCGGCAGUAAGGGCUCAGGUGUCCCUCUUCCCCGCACCUGAAACACCUGUCCUGAGUGCAGGUGCCGCUCAUGUGGGUCCGGGAACCACACUUAAAGCACGUCUUGGGCUGCCCCUUGUACCAACUGUAGCCCCUCUCCGCUCCCAAGAAGAAGGCCCCGGGCAGGUGCCUCACUCCGCCCUCCCCCUGGCGCAGCUCGAUCUCACACUUGUACUCCCCGGUCCAGAUCCCAAACCUGUCGGUCACUUUCACGGGCACGGCCAGCACGUCGCAGUGUCGCUUGAGCCAGGUCACGAUGUCCUCCACGUCCACGGUCUCGUUCCGGAAGAGGAUGAAGAGGGUCUUCAAGCUGGACUUGCUCCGCCCCAAGACCACAAAGUUCUCCCAGCAGUCCUCCAGCUCUCGCUUCUCCUCGUAGACGCGGAGAAACAGGGCUAGUUUUUCUGCGGAUCGGAAGCUCACGUCGAACUCACGGCUGCCGGGGAUCUGAAUGACUGCGUAGAUGUCGUCAGGGUCCAUGCCGAUGGAGCGAAGGAUGAGCGCACCCACCACGAAGUCCCGGGUCGGACACGCACUCUCGUCUCCCUGGAAACAGAUGCGCACGAGGAAGCGGCCCUUACCCGGGCCAGCAGCCGGUGGCUCGUCCUGUAGCGGCCGCUCGGUUGCAUCUUCGGUCGCGCCGGACCUGGCGGGGGUCGGCAUGGCCGCCGACACGUCGGCCUUCUUCCUUCGACUCGGGUCUCCCGCGCUGCUCGCGCCCUUCUUCCUGUAAGCGUCUGCCGCCUCACCCGUAGGGUCUCUGCGGCGGCCCUUUGGGUCCCCGCGAGCCGCAGGUGGGAAGUCGCCGGGGUUCGGGGCGGCCAGACUCCCGGAGCUGCCGAGCCCGCCACUCGCACCGCUGCCUGCUUCGUCGCGCCGCCGCGGCUCGCGGAAGUCGCCCUUCUUCUCCGCCAGGUUCUUAACCACCUGGGCCCAGCCCAUCUUCUCGCGGACGCCCUCGGAUUCCUCGGCGCGGGCCACGGGGCGCGCGGGGAGCGGGAGCUCCGGCCGACCCCGCUGUGGCUCCUCCUCCGCUCCACUGCCGG
Molecule: long non-coding RNA, 1342 nt
Filed under: Rattus norvegicus (Norway rat)
Lineage: Eukaryota; Metazoa; Chordata; Mammalia; Rodentia; Muridae
Description: long non-coding RNA NONRATT018741
Source: RNAcentral